UACGUAGGGCGCAAGCGUUGUCCGGAAUUAUUGGGCGUAAAGAGCCCGUAGGUGGCUUGUCACGUCGGGUGUGAAAGCUUGGGGCUUAACUCCAGGUCUGCAUUCGAUACGGGCUGGCUAGAGGUAGGUAGGGGAGAACGGAAUUCCUGGUGUAGCGGUGAAAUGCGCAGAUAUCAGGAGGAACACCGGUGGCGAAGGCGGUUCUCUGGGCCUUACCUGACGCUGAGGAGCGAAAGCGUGGGGAGCGAACAGG
RNAcentral lists this ribosomal RNA (253 nucleotides) under uncultured bacterium. RNAcentral's name for it is "partial 16S ribosomal RNA". It matches the Rfam family "Bacterial small subunit ribosomal RNA", at positions 524 to 776 of the family's 1533-position model. The record is from RNAcentral.